CCAGCUGGGUUUCCCAAGCUUUUGGGAAAGUUAAGCAAUUCUCCCUUCACAAUGUUUGCAACUCUCACAGAAAGCUAUUUCUCUAUAUAACAAUAUUCUGUAGAAAUAAGCACCUCCGAGCCCCCAUGCUAUGAAAUGUUGCUGAGGACUAAAGCAGCAGAUCAUCCAGCCACUGCCCCCACUCAUAUGUUAGUCAAAAAUAAGAACUGUCACUCUAUGAAAUGUCACGAAGCCUCAAGUGAUUGUUUAUUCUAAAUACUACCGGCACCGACCUUCAAAGUGUUUCUGAAUGACUAUAAUUACUAAAUGAACUCAAGAAAAGCAAAGACUGCAACCGCCAAUUGACAAAACAGCCCUUGUGUGCAGAGAGAUUUCUGGCCACUGAGGCAAUUAAUCCGUUUGGUUUGCCAGGGCAGAAGGUAACAUUCUUCCACCGGGUCAGAGGGAACCAGACGCUCAGCUCAGCGCAGUGCUGGAGGCACUAUGCUCAACGGGCAUGUGAGAUAGCACAAAAAGUGUUAGCAGUUACAGGAGUCAAUCUCAGUCCUGGCAGUUUGUCCUUCAAAUAACAAACACCUGUGAAAUGUCAACGGUCACAAGUUAAAUAGCAUGUGUUUCUGAACCCACUUCCUAGCAGGCUUCUUUAUAAAGGAAUUGCUGUUGACUUGGAGGGGUGGAUAUUUUCUUGGGGGCAAGCUAUCACUAGUCAUUCCCUUUCAGGUCUCUCCAAUUGAACUCCUAAUUUACAAGUGCCAAAAAGUUGUACCCAGCACAUGGCUGAUAGCAAAAUUCAGCUUUAAACUUGUCUGCAAUGAUACAGCAAGUCUUCUGCAAGCUGGAAAAAAAAAUAUUUCAAGUAAUAAAGGGGAAAAUGUUAUAGACAAUGAAGCAUUAAUGUCAUAUUAUUCCAGUAUCUCACACACAAAAAAAAUUCCAAUGCUACAUUCAACCUCUGCUCUAAGAGAAGAGCUCAGCACUGAAAUGCCUGCAGGGGAAAUAGUAAACAAUUAGAAUUAAAAAUAAUUUGGUGACACAGCAUUCACCAACGAAGCACAGCGAAAUGUCAAAUGCUGCAGUUGAAGAAAAACUUAUGGGAAAAGUAGACAUGUCCAGAAACAGAUUGCUACAACUAUGUCUGUCUGUAAAGUUCAAGGUAAUUCUGCUCGAACAGAAUGAACGUAUCACACAGAUGAGCAGCAAGAAGAAAAAGCUGUACUUCACAGAAUAAUCACUCAUUUGAUAAUCCAUAAGUCAAUGGCAUACUAAGUUGCAAACAUCCUGUUAAAUGAACAAAAAUACUUCAUAUAAAAAAUGUUAACUGUUUUCAUUAAUGGCUGGUUUUGUGAAGAACAAAGAACAAUUCUGAAGCAGAGCCUGCUGCUCUGGGAUGCAUUCAAAGCAGCAAUCAGAUUUUGAUAAGAACUCAAUUGUUGUGACAAACAGCUCUUCCCCCUACCUCCCUCUGGCCCAGGGCUGCUGUGUGGAGAUCACCGGACAGACAGGCCUAAAACACCCCAUCUAGUGGCUCAAAACAGCAUAAGAAAUGGCAAAGGAACACUUGGGGGUCAUCUGCUGCUCCCCACUUCCUCCACGUGAAAACGCACACCCCUAAACACCAACACUUGCUGGUAUAAGACUCCAGAAACAACCACACAGAUACAGACUGCUUUGCUUUAGCUUAUCACAAGUGCUUAAGAACGUCUCAUUGUCACAACAAACCUUACUUUACUGCAGGCUCCAAAUUUUUCUAGCAGUAGCAGUGUUUCAGCCUAGUUGUUUCACCUCUGCUUCUUUGCAGUGACCUCUUAAGAAUACAAGUUUGACACAAACACUCUUGACCAGGAUAACUUGUCUCAAAAGGUGAGGUCCGUACCCUACGGAGAGUCCUGUGUGUACAGUUCCACGGUGCCAGGGUCACAGCGUUUUCUUGAUGCAAGAGCAUCAACAUAACAGACAGUGUAUAAGUGAGAACAUUUGCGCAUACAAAAAGGGAAGCCAACAUUGCAACAGCAAGCAACUUCAGCCCUUCUAUAGCGAGUCUAAACUGAAAACGACUGCAAAGUCCCAAGUCCCAGAUGCUCAUCUGGAAAAAAGGUGAGCCUGAGAAUAGUUUUACCUGCUGAUACUCUCUGAAUCUGAGCCAGGCAAGCAGUUCAAUGGCAGCAUUCUCUUCCUACACCCUACAGCUGUGUACGUACAUAACUUUGUAAUUAAAUAUCCUGUUGGCAGCAAGGUCCUAUUUCAGUACAGUAAAGCUGUAAAGACAGAAAAAAUUGUUAAGACUUCAACUGUUACCUGUAUUCGUAUCGAGUAAACGCCUUUUAGGAGCUGUAACAUUUGCCACAGCCACAUUAAAACCAGGACUGUACCUAUCCACUAAGGAACUUGUUAGCAGCUCAGCAUAAAUUGCCAUCUUUAUCCCAGUUUCCCCUUUGACAGGCAACAAUAUGCACUAAGUAAGAAAGUAACCAAGUGUCCAAGCGUAAAAAGUCUUCUGCAUGAAACCCUUCACUGAAUCCAGUGAUUGCAUGAAAGAGAGAUGCAAGGGUAGGCCUUGGACAUGAUAGGUGGCAAAGAAAUUGCUUGCUGACAGUUCUCAUACCAGCUGAGCUUUCCAGCUGCACUUCUGGCAGUUUUAAAUUAAAAAA
Egretta garzetta (little egret) is the source of this 2648-nucleotide long non-coding RNA. RefSeq lists it as uncharacterized. The record is from RefSeq and is a predicted model, not a curated record. Lineage: Eukaryota; Metazoa; Chordata; Aves; Pelecaniformes; Ardeidae. The transcript has 2 exons.